This 276-nucleotide ribosomal RNA is filed under the name Salmonella enterica. Its description in RNAcentral is "partial 16S ribosomal RNA". It matches the Rfam family "Bacterial small subunit ribosomal RNA", at positions 1 to 273 of the family's 1533-position model. The record is from RNAcentral. Lineage: Bacteria; Pseudomonadati; Pseudomonadota; Gammaproteobacteria; Enterobacterales; Enterobacteriaceae. RNAcentral also lists the same sequence under 3 other names.
AAAUUGAAGAGUUUGAUCAUGGCUCAGAUUGAACGCUGGCGGCAGGCCUAACACAUGCAAGUCGAACGGUAACAGGAAGCAGCUUGCUGCUUUGCUGACGAGUGGCGGACGGGUGAGUAAUGUCUGGGAAACUGCCUGAUGGAGGGGGAUAACUACUGGAAACGGUGGCUAAUACCGCAUAACGUCGCAAGACCAAAGAGGGGGACCUUCGGGCCUCUUGCCAUCAGAUGUGCCCAGAUGGGAUUAGCUUGUUGGUGAGGUAACGGCUCACCAAGG